Molecule: non-coding RNA, 433 nt
Organism: Crotalus tigris (Tiger rattlesnake)
Lineage: Eukaryota; Metazoa; Chordata; Lepidosauria; Squamata; Viperidae
Source: the annotation of a RefSeq genome assembly
UGCAAGGCAAAGUUUGAGCACUUUCCUGAAUACUUUCCUGUCAAUUCCUCUGCAUUCAUUAGAAAGAGCAAAAAUGAUUCUGUGGCCAAAAUUGGUCUUCUUACUAGCAGUCCUCCAAGGUGUCCAGUCACAGGUCCAGUUGGUCGAGUCUGGAGGGGAUGUGAGAAGCCCUGGAGGGUCCCUCCGUCUCUCCUGCCAAGCCUCUGGAUUCACUUUCAGCAGCUACUACAUGGGCUGGGUGAGACAGGCUCCAGGGAAAGGCCUGGAGUGGGUGACCUACAUAACGACUGGUUCCAGUACUUACUACUCAGACAAAGUGAAGGGACGGUUCACCAUCUCCAGGGACAAUGCCAAAAGCCAGCUGUAUCUGCAAAUGAACAGCCUCAAAGCUGAAGACACGGCUGUCUAUUAUUGUGCAAGAGAGUCACAGUGA